This 253-nucleotide long non-coding RNA is filed under the name Mytilus galloprovincialis (Mediterranean mussel). The record is from RNAcentral. Lineage: Eukaryota; Metazoa; Mollusca; Bivalvia; Mytilida; Mytilidae.
GUAGUAGCUGACCAUGCAAGACCUCAUGGGUAGUCAAGGUUGUUAAAAACCACCCUCAUUGUCAAAUGAUAUGAAUUUUAGAAAAUAAACAUCACUGUACAGCCUUCAACAACGACUUAAAACCAUACUGUAGUCUAGUCAGCUGUAAAAGGGCUUGAUAUGACAAAAUGUUAAACAGUUCAAACGAAAAUACCAAGGGCCUGAUUUAUGUUAAAACAAGAAAUUAAAAAACCUAAUAUGACAAACAGCAAAC